This 321-nucleotide RNase P RNA is filed under the name Flavobacterium sp. RNAcentral describes it as "Bacterial RNase P class A". It matches the Rfam family "Bacterial RNase P class A". Rfam says of the family: Ribonuclease P (RNase P) is a ubiquitous endoribonuclease, found in archaea, bacteria and eukarya as well as chloroplasts and mitochondria. Its best characterised activity is the generation of mature 5'-ends of tRNAs by cleaving the 5'-leader elements of precursor-tRNAs. The record is from Rfam by way of RNAcentral. Lineage: Bacteria; Pseudomonadati; Bacteroidota; Flavobacteriia; Flavobacteriales; Flavobacteriaceae.
CCUGCAGGCCGCCUUAUCGCCGUUCCGAAAGGAAGGGAGGAAAGUCCGGGCACCAUAGGGCAGCAUAGCGGGUAACGCCCGCCGGCUCCGCAAUCGCGGGGUCAGGACAAGUGCAACAGAAAGUAUGUACAGGUAAUGCUGUAGUGAAACCAGGUAAACUCUAUGCGGUGAAAUAUCAAGUAUAUCAGCAUUUAAGGGCUGCCCGUCCGUUGCUGAAGGGUAGAUAGAUUGAUCCCGUUGGCAACAGCGGGACUAGAUAAAUGAUAAGGAUUCCAUAUCAAAAUUGGGAUACAGAACCCGGCUUACAGGCCUGCUUUUUUU